UAGUAAGGUGGCUGAACAAAUCCCGAGGCCUGAGUGCCUCCUUGGGAUUCUCCCAUUCCCUCUUCUGACAUACUAACUCCCAAACUGCCAUCCCUCCUCUGCUCUACAUCCAUAUCAUCCCCCAUAUCCUCUGACGCUCCUCCCUGAACUGUUCCUCUGACUGAUCUGCUUCUACCCAGAUCCAAAGACCUUCUAGGGUCUCUUACUGC
Molecule: long non-coding RNA, 209 nt
Filed under: Manihot esculenta (cassava)
Lineage: Eukaryota; Viridiplantae; Streptophyta; Magnoliopsida; Malpighiales; Euphorbiaceae
Description: long non-coding RNA (MESC_LNC011752)
Source: RNAcentral